This 465-nucleotide ribosomal RNA is filed under the name uncultured bacterium. RNAcentral's name for it is "partial 16S ribosomal RNA". It matches the Rfam family "Bacterial small subunit ribosomal RNA", at positions 39 to 507 of the family's 1533-position model. The record is from RNAcentral.
GGGGGGGGGGGGGGGGGGGGGGGGGGGGGGGGGGGGGUGGGGGGGGGGGCGUUCGGGGGUGCGCGGGUGGCGAACGGGGGAGUGACGCGUGAGUAACCUGCCCGCGACGUUGGGGUACCGCUGGGAAACUGGUGCUAAUACUGGGUAUGUGCUCCUGCUGCCUGGUGGGGGUUGGAAGGCUCCGGGGGUUGUGGGUGGACUCGCGGCCUAUCAGCUUGUUGGUGGGGUAGUGGCCUACCAAGGCGGCGACGGGUAGCCGGCCUGGGAGGGUGACAGGCCACAUUGGGACUGAGAUACGGCCCAGACUCCUACGGGAGGCAGCAGGGGGGAAUAUUGCAAAAUGGGCGCAAGCCUGAUGCAGCAACGCCGCGUGCGGGAUGACGGCCUUCGGGUUGUAAACCGCUUUCAGCAGGGAGGAAGCUUUUUGUGACGGUACCUGCAGAAGAAGCACCGGCUAACUACGUG